This 1059-nucleotide ribosomal RNA is filed under the name Chapsa thallotrema. Its description in RNAcentral is "LSU rRNA". It matches the Rfam family "Eukaryotic large subunit ribosomal RNA", at positions 86 to 1213 of the family's 3401-position model. Lineage: Eukaryota; Fungi; Ascomycota; Lecanoromycetes; Ostropales; Graphidaceae. The record is from RNAcentral.
AGUGCGAGUGAAGGCGCAACAGCUCAAACGAGAUAUCUGGCCCUUUUGGGUCCGAAUUGUAAUUUGUAGAAGGUGCUUCGGAUUUGAUAAUGGUUCAAGUUCCUUGGAAUUGGACAUCAGAGAGGGUGAUAAUCCCGUUUCGACCAAUUAUCUGUCCAUGUGAAGCCCUUUCGACGAGUCGAGUUGUUUGGGAAUGCAGCUCAAAAUGGGUGGUAAAUUUCAUCUAAAGCUAAAUAUCAGCCAGAGACCGAUAGCGCACAAGUAGAGUGAUCGAAAGAUGAAAAGCACUUUGAAAAGAGAGUUAAAAAGCACGUGAAAUUGUUGAAAGGGAAGCGCUUGCAACCAGACUUGCUCGUAGUGUUCAGCCUCCUGAAAAGGUGGUGCACUCUCUGCGGGCGGGCCAACAUCGGUUUUAGCGGUCGGACAAAAGCUCGAGGAAAGUAGCUCUUCUCGGAGAGUGUUAUAGCCUCUUGCAUAAUGCGGCCAGUUGAGACCGAGGAUAUAUGCGCUUAUGCUAGGAUGUUGGCGUAAUGGUUGUUAGCGACCCGUCUUGAAACACGGACCAAGGAGUCGAGAAAUCAUGCGAGCGUUAGGGUGUUAAACCCUUCCGCGUAAUGAAAGUGAACGUAGGUGGGAGCCUUUUUGGCGCACCAUCGUCCGAUCUGAGUUCGCGAGGAUUUGAGUAAGAGUGUGAUUUCUCGGACCCGAAAGAAGGUGAACUAUUGCUGACUAGGGCGAAGCCAGAGGAAACUCUGGUGGAGGCUCGCAGCGGUUCUGACGUGCAAAUCGAUCGUCAAAGCUGGCAAUAGGGGCGAAAGACUAAUCGAACCUUUCUAGUAGCUGGUUCCUGUGGAAGUUUCCCUCAGGAUAGCAGCAACGAAACCUAGUCUCAUGAGGUAGAGCAACGAUUAGAGGCCUUGGGGUUGAAACAACCUUAACCUAUUCUCGAACUCUGAAUAUGUGAGAGGUCCUUGUUACUUAGNUGAACGUACACUUUUGGAAUUAUCGUGCUGCUGCCCUCAUAUUGGUUAAGUUUGCCCGCCGACACACGGAGAAACU